CAUCAGCCUACCCAAACUAAUGGUACAAAACGUACCUAUGGGUAGAGUACCAGUCUGAUGGGCACUGAAGGCACCAUGCCUGGUUGAGCAGCGCAAGCACUACUGGCGAUUUUCUCUCGGAGCGUUUAUUAUAUACCUUUUGGUUGGUAGGUGCGAAAUACUCCACGCGCGAAUAACGUGCGGUGCCGCCAUUAUUCGCGCGACAUUUGUCAACAACUUUGCACCAAGUAAACAAGGCUUUAAAAAGUAUUACAAACGCUGGAAAAGGACGAAUUAUUGGUUUGGGAUUACUUUGGAGAUGAUGCCAAGUGUAUUUUGAGUUACAUGAGUAGAAUAACAAUGCCAGGUGGCCAUUAAUCAUUACGAUAGGAUUAAUCAAUGGAGGAAAUUCGGUUCAUCUGUCAUCACUUCCUGGAUCCACUGAAAUGGAAAAGUCACGACAGGGACGAAUCACAAAUCUGCAUACCACCAGUGUCCUGAUUUCACAAAUAUCCACAUUUUUUAUACAAUUAACACAGUUACAUAAUAUAUUCCUUUGAAAUGUCCAAAAAGUCCAGCACACGUCCACUUAUUUCGAAUUCAGCAUCAUCGGAAAAUGGUCAGGAUCCAUAUCCGGAAUUACAUCACUCGACCUGGAAGGAUUCCUCAAGGUUGGGCUAUAUCUGAUGCCUUUGAUGGAGAAGGAGGAUUGGAAACGGGUGUGGCUAGCCUAUCAUUCUCCAAGUUGUUACGUGAAGAUGGACGGGACUUAAAAGUUACUUCAAAACUUUCUUCUAAUUCCAUCUUGUACA
Molecule: long non-coding RNA, 791 nt
Organism: Saccostrea cuccullata (small rock oyster)
Lineage: Eukaryota; Metazoa; Mollusca; Bivalvia; Ostreida; Ostreidae
Exons: 3
Source: RefSeq, a predicted model, not a curated record